GAAAUGCGAUAAGUAAUGUGAAUUGCAGAAUUCAGUGAAUCAUCGAAUCUUUGAACGCACCUUGCGCUCCUUGGUAUUCCUUGGAGCAUGCCUGUUUGAGUAUCAUGAAAUCUUCAAAGUAAAUCUUUUGUUAACUCAAUUGGUUUCUACUUUGGUAUUGGAGGUCUUUGCAGCUUCACACCUGCUCCUCUUUGUUCAUUAGCUGGAUCUCAGUGUUAUGCUUGGUUCCACUCGGCGUGAUAAGUUAUCUAUCGGUGAGGACACUGUAAAAGGUGGCCAAGGUAAAUGCAGAUGAACCGCUUCUAAUAGUCCAUUGACUUGGACAAUACUUUUAUGAUCUGAUCUCAAAUCAGGUAGGACUACCCGCUGAACUUAAGC
This 378-nucleotide unclassified non-coding RNA is filed under the name plant metagenome. RNAcentral's name for it is "partial contains 5.8S ribosomal RNA, internal transcribed spacer 2, and large subunit ribosomal RNA". The stretch from base 1 to 105 matches the Rfam family "5.8S ribosomal RNA", at positions 50 to 154 of the family's 154-position model. The record is from RNAcentral.